GGAGGUUAGUGCAAUGGCAUAAGCCAGCUUGACUGCGAGCGUGACGGCGCGAGCAGGUGCGAAAGCAGGUCAUAGUGAUCCGGUGGUUCUGAAUGGAAGGGCCAUCGCUCAACGGAUAAAAGGUACUCCGGGGAUAACAGGCUGAUACCGCCCAAGAGUUCAUAUCGACGGCGGUGUUUGGCACCUCGAUGUCGGCUCAUCACAUCCUGGGGCUGAAGUAGGUCCCAAGGGUAUGGCUGUUCGCCAUUUAAAGUGGUACGCGAGCUGGGUUUAGAACGUCGUGAGACAGUUCGGUCCCUAUCUGCCGUGGGCGCUGGAGAACUGAGGGGGGCUGCUCCUAGUACGAGAGGACCGGAGUGGACGCAUCACUGGUGUUCGGGUUGUCAUGCCAAUGGCACUGCCCGGUAGCUAAAUGCGGAAGAGAUAAGUGCUGAAAGCAUCUAAGCACGAAACUUGCCCCGAGAUGAGUUCUCCCUGACCCUUUAAGGGUCCUGAAGGAACGUUGAAGACGACGACGUUGAUAGGCCGGGUGUGUAAGCGCAGCGAUGCGUUGAGCUAACCGGUACUAAUGAAC
RNAcentral lists this ribosomal RNA (574 nucleotides) under Shigella flexneri. Its description in RNAcentral is "partial 23S ribosomal RNA". It matches the Rfam family "Bacterial large subunit ribosomal RNA", at positions 2341 to 2909 of the family's 2925-position model. Lineage: Bacteria; Pseudomonadati; Pseudomonadota; Gammaproteobacteria; Enterobacterales; Enterobacteriaceae. The record is from RNAcentral.